UUCGAUUAGAGUUUGAUCAUGGCUCAGAUUGAACGCUGGGGGCAUGCUUUACACAUGCAAGUCGAACGGUAACAGGGAGCUUGCUCCGCUGACGAGUGGCGAACGGGUGAGUAAUAUAUCGGAACGUACCCAAGAGUGGGGGAUAACGUAGCGAAAGUUACGCUAAUACCGCAUACGAUCUAUGGAUGAAAGCAGGGGACCGCAAGGCCUUGUGCUCCUGGAGCGGCCGAUAUCUGAUUAGCUAGUUGGUAGGGUAAAGGCCUACCAAGGCAUCGAUCAGUAGCUGGUCUGAGAGGACGACCAGUCACACUGGAACUGAGACACGGUCCAGACUCCUACGGGAGGCAGCAGUGGGGAAUAUUGGACAAUGGGCGAAAGCCUGAUCCAGCCAUGCCGCGUGUGUGAAGAAGGUCUUCGGGUUGUAAACUGCUUUUGUCAGGGAAGAAAUCUUCUGGGUUAAUACCUCGGGAGGAUGACGGUCCCUGAAGAAUAAGCACCGGCUAACUACGUGCCAGCAGCCGCGGUAAUACGAAUCACUAGUGAAUUCGCGGCCGCCUGCAGGUCGACCAUAUGGGAGAGCCCCCAA
RNAcentral lists this ribosomal RNA (586 nucleotides) under uncultured beta proteobacterium. Its description in RNAcentral is "bacterial SSU rRNA". It matches the Rfam family "Bacterial small subunit ribosomal RNA", at positions 1 to 599 of the family's 1533-position model. Lineage: Bacteria; Pseudomonadati; Pseudomonadota; Betaproteobacteria. The record is from RNAcentral.